Long non-coding RNA from Zonotrichia leucophrys gambelii, 2150 nucleotides. RefSeq lists it as uncharacterized. NCBI's taxonomy places the organism in Eukaryota, Metazoa, Chordata, Aves, Passeriformes, Passerellidae. The record is from RefSeq and is a predicted model, not a curated record. The transcript has 4 exons.
ACCAAAAAUGAUAAGCUGUGUUUUCCAUCACAUGAAUUCUCAGUGUUUGACUCUCCUGACUCUGUUGUUAACUCCAAAGAAUUGGCACUGAACACAAUCUCAUUACAGGUUCUGGUGAACUAAGGAAUCAAGAUCACUGCUCUGGUUGUACCAGAUAUUUUCACUGUAGGCAUCCAACAACUAAACUUGUACACAAAAAUUCUUAGUGUUUCUCUGAGUCACUACAUUUCAAGAAUUUCUCAUCUGAUGUUGUAGCCUUCAUGCUUAGUUCUUAAAAUAUUACUUGGUUGCAAGCAAUAGACAAAUAGCACCAUUCUGCACCCCCUGCACUCCCUUCUUCACCAGCAGGAAGAAAGAAACAUUUCUUUCUGUCUUCAGAGUUAGAUCUAGAGACAUGUUAUGAACAUUUUUUGUCUACAGUUGUGUUUAUCUAAGGUGAUUUCAAUGAUAAGAGCUUCUGUUCAGUGGGAAACAGUUCCAGAUUCCAGAAAAUAAAUCAAGAAGGAAAAUAAAAAGCCCCUAACAGCAGCAACAACAAAAACCCAUCAAAACCUAGAAAGCUGACAGUCUAGAAACCAUUGUACUGAUUACCACAACUUGACCAGGUGGGAUCUCCAAGAGCACCUCUGGGACAGCUCAAAACGCCUCAAUUUACAGAACUGACUUUGUGCACUUAUGAAAGGAGGUUGCUACACAUUUAUUUGUGUCUCAGCCCUUCCAGAGCUGCAGCAGCCCCAGCAAUGUCCAUGAACACCUGCCACUUUCACACUCUGGAGAGAAAGUACCGAGGAUGCUGCGAGGCCUUGAAUGGGAAGAGUGAUUUUGUAACUCCAGGCCAAACAGCUGUGUUACCCCAGCACUGCCAUUUAGUCAGCAUUUAUCUUAUUUUCUUACAUGAAAGCAAUGCUUAGGAUCUAAAUAGAAUUCUUCAUCUCCAAAGAGUUAAACAAACCUUGGUAAUUAAUCCAUACAGAAUCCUGCAAAGAUGCUCUCUUUUCAAAUGCAAAGACUCUAUAGGUCUGCUUAAACCAAAGUAUAAAGCAAACAUAAGUGGAGAUCUCUGUUGAGCUCUGAAGACUGGAUCACUGACAACAGCAACAGUUUUAUCUCUCUUCUAUUAUACAUCUUUUCCAAGGUUUAAAAAUAAGACCUUUUUUUUGAAUGUUAUUUUAAGAAAUAUUUAGGCUAAAAGAUAUAAGGAUAUAAGGUAAAAUUAUAAAAGUUAAUAAAAGAUGAAAUUAGUAACAUUUUUUCUUUAAAUCACCUUGUAACAUAAUAUACUCACGUGUUUUUUCUUUGAAGGCAAAGUUUUAGGGAUUUUAAAAAUAUCUAAUAAUAAAUUUUCUCAAAUAUGCUUGCUGCUUCCACAAAUCACUAAUUUAAAUAACUUAGUAGAAAGCUCAUUGUGGUGCGUGGCCUGCUGCACUACUCUCCCUAAGUUAAGGUACAUCUUAAAGCAUCAUGAAUCUUAUGCAAUGACACAAGAUGAACCUUUAUUCUGAAUUUUGAAGAAUCUGCUUGACAAGGCAGCUGUCUAACAGCUGUAGGAAAGAAAAAAAUACAGAUGAAGGCUGUACCCUGCCUUCUGCCUCUCCCAGCAAUUUACUACUCUGGUAAGCAUUUUGUGCUUAAACACAAUUUCCUAAAAGCUGUUUGAGAGGUUUUCUGAGCCUUCAGAAGUUUUUGUGGUUUUGUUAGGGAAAGGUGGAGUCACUUAUUUGGGUUGGUAUUCACCUGCUUGUGCAGACAAACCCCUCUUCUGUGUCUACAGGAGGUGGAACUCUGUGUGGUGCUGAAAACUGUCUUUUGAAGAAUUAAUAUUAAGAUUUAACAUGCACAAAUUUCUCAUGAUACUUACUUUCCACAGAAAAUCAUAGCAAAGCACCAAGAUUAGAUUUUCUGAUUAUUUAUAUCAGAUGGUGUCUGCAGUGGCUGAGGUACUGUUUGAGAAACAAAUGGCUCAGGACAUAUGGCAUUAAGUGACUUUUGGCAAACCUAUAGAGCAAGGCAUAUGGCAUAUGAUAACCUUGAAGGAAGAAAUGUCUCCUUGUAUCUUGUUAAAUCAUAUGAUAAAUUGAUCUCUGAAGCUAUUUCUUGACAGAAACUUGAAAAACAACAUUCUUUAGAUAGUAUAAGUUGGAGGGGUUUUG